This 486-nucleotide ribosomal RNA is filed under the name uncultured bacterium. Its description in RNAcentral is "bacterial SSU rRNA". It matches the Rfam family "Bacterial small subunit ribosomal RNA", at positions 24 to 507 of the family's 1533-position model. The record is from RNAcentral.
UCAGAUUGAACGCUGGCGGCAUGCCUUACACAUGCAAGUCGAACGGUAACGGCACUUCGGUGGCUGACGAGUGGCGGACGGGUGAGUAAUACAUCGGAACGUGCCCGAUCGUGGGGGAUAACUACUCGAAAGAGUGGCUAAUACCGCAUACGAUCUACGGAUGAAAGCGGGGGAUCGCAAGACCUCGCGCGGACGGAGCGGCCGAUGGCAGAUUAGGUAGUUGGUGGGAUAAAAGCUUACCAAGCCGACGAUCUGUAGCUGGUCUGAGAGGACGACCAGCCACACUGGGACUGAGACACGGCCCAGACUCCUACGGGAGGCAGCAGUGGGGAAUUUUGGACAAUGGGGGAAACCCUGAUCCAGCCAUGCCGCGUGCAGGAUGAAGGCCUUCGGGUUGUAAACUGCUUUUGUACGGAACGAAAAGACUCUUUCUAAUACAGAGGGUCCAUGACGGUACCGUAAGAAUAAGCACCGGCUAACUACGUG